RNAcentral lists this ribosomal RNA (252 nucleotides) under uncultured bacterium. RNAcentral's name for it is "partial 16S ribosomal RNA". It matches the Rfam family "Bacterial small subunit ribosomal RNA", at positions 524 to 776 of the family's 1533-position model. The record is from RNAcentral.
UACGGAGGAUGCGAGCGUUAUCCGGAUUUAUUGGGUUUAAAGGGUGCGUAGGCGGGCUGUUAAGUCAGCGGUCAAAUGUCGGGGCUCAACCCCGGCCAGCCGUUGAAACUGGUGGCCUCGAGUGGGCGAGAAGUAUGCGGAAUGCGUGGUGUAGCGGUGAAAUGCAUAGAUAUCACGCAGAACUCCGAUUGCGAAGGCAGCAUACCGGCGCCCGACUGACGCUGAGGCACGAAAGCGUGGGUAUCGAACAGG